CAAUAUACAUGUUUUGCAUACUUCUUUAUUUUGCUUUCUGUAUGUGCCACACACUUCAAAUGCCAACUAAUUUUGUUGCGUCCAGUAGAUGUUCUACUAGAGCAAAUGAAGCUUCAAGAAGCUUUGUACUGGAGUGAACCUUUUGGAUGAAAGGCUUUAUUGCUUCACAAAGCUUCAUCUGCCCAUCACUAUGUAAAACAUGGAUGACAUAAACAAAACAAACCUUGACCAGUCCAGGGGCCCGUUUCAAGAAGGAGGUUUAACAAACUCUGAGUUUAAACUAAACUCUGAGUUGAUUUACACUGAGUUUGCAAACCUGGGGUUUUCGGUUUCAGAACAGCUGAAAAGAGUUGGUUUAAGCAACUCUGAGUUUGUCAUGAUCUGGGGUUUUGUUCUAGUUGUUUCCUGUUGUCACGCCAUGUCCUGUUUUAUUUUGUUAAGCUUCCUGUUCUCUGUCAGCUGUCACUUACCUGUUCCCAGUAUCCACACCUGUCAGUAAUUACGUAAUCACUCUGUGUAUUUAGCCACCACCUGUUUCCAUAGUCCUUUGCCAGAUCGUCGUUUGUGUUUCCUGAAUAUCCCGAGUUUCCUGAGUUUCUUAGUUUCCUGAGUGUCCUGAGUUUUCGAGUUUUCCCUCGUGUUUUGUUCCCGUUUCCUUUCACCGUCGUUUCCUGCCUGACCCUGGACUACUAUCAGACUCCAACAGAAAGUAGGCAGAGGAUAGAACAACUGGUGGAGGACCUGCACCUCCACCACUGACACAUGCAGAGGAGAUGGCCCUCAGCAUGAACACUGGAGAGAGGCUGAGGCUGAAGGAAUUCCUGGAGGGAGUUUAUCAGAACCAGUCACUCCCCAGGAUACAAGUGCAUGUGUAAAAUAUUCUGAUGGUUAUAUGUGAAUCUUCCUGUCACAACAGAAGCCCAGGAUGUUAGUGUGGAAGAACAGCAGGAGGAGUUUCAGUUACCGGUUAAGGAGUUGUAUAAACUAAAUCUCAAGGAAAUGUUAUACUUGGACCGCCAGAUUGAAAAGACAGAUCUAGAAAUUGAAAUUCUCAAACAAAAGCUGGAGGAAAUGAAGAAAACCAAAUAAAUUAUGAUUUGCAUUUAUUCAGUUUCUUUUACUGGUGGUGGUGGUGGUGAUGGUUGAUUAAGACAUUAAAGCAAAUCAAUCAUCAUCUGACUGCCCAUCCACUCUGCAGAUUACCGUGAUAGAAGGAGUCUCCUCAGGGUCCUGUAUUUGUAGGUCAGGGUGUUGCUCCCCUCUAAUAAUUGCAAUAUUGUGGAGAACAACACAUGUCACAAUAAUGUCACAGGCCUCUCAUGUUUUACCCUGAGGUGACGUAGGCACUCAAGACGUGCUUUCAACAGGCCUAUGGUCAUUUCCACCCGGACUCUUGUUCUGCAGGGCCACAUUAAAGCGCUGCUGGGGGCCUGCUUCAGGUUCUGGGCGAGGGGUCAGUAGUGUGUGCUGGCAUUAACCCCUAUCUCCAGCAGAAAGCUGUCAAUCUCUCCUAGAAGAAAGUUUAGAUUACUUUAGU
This is a long non-coding RNA of Betta splendens (Siamese fighting fish), 1537 nucleotides long. RefSeq lists it as uncharacterized. The record is from RefSeq and is a predicted model, not a curated record. Lineage: Eukaryota; Metazoa; Chordata; Actinopteri; Anabantiformes; Osphronemidae. The transcript is spliced from 6 exons.